GGCGUGCCUAACACAUGCAAGUCGAGCGCGAAAGUGGACUUCGGUCCACGAGUAGAGCGGCGAACGGGUGAGUAACGCGUGGGUGAUCUACCCUCGAGUGGGGAAUAACACCGGGAAACUGGUGCUAAUACCGCAUGACAUCUUCGGUUCGUUCCGAAGAUCAAAGCCGGGGACCGUCAGGCCUGGCGCUUGAGGAGGAGCCCGCGUCCGAUUAGCUUGUUGGCGGGGUAAUGGCCCACCAAGGCUUCUAUCGGUAGCCGGCCUGAGAGGGCGGACGGCCACACUGGGACUGAGACACGGCCCAGACUCCUACGGGAGGCAGCAGUGGGGAAUUUUCCGCAAUGGGGGAAACCCUGACGGAGCAACGCCGCGUGGAGGAUGAAGGCCCUCGGGUCGUAAACUCCUGUCGAUCGGGAAGAAUGCGUCCGACUUAAUACGUCGGUGCGUUGACUGUACCGGUGGAGGAAGCCACGGCUAACUCUGUGCCAGCAGCCGCGGUAAGACAGAGGUGGCAAGCGUUGUUCGGAAUUACUGGGCGUUAAGGGCGCGCANGC
RNAcentral lists this ribosomal RNA (554 nucleotides) under uncultured bacterium. Its description in RNAcentral is "bacterial SSU rRNA". It matches the Rfam family "Bacterial small subunit ribosomal RNA", at positions 41 to 576 of the family's 1533-position model. The record is from RNAcentral.